ACUCACCUGACAUGGAAGGCUUGCAGGCCCGGCGGCAGCAGGAGAAGACCAUAAAGAAGAUACAGGAAGGAGAAGGCCGCCGGCGAGAAGGUGUACUGGAUGUGCCGGGACCAGGCUCGGCUGGGCUGCCGCAGCCGCGCCAUUACCCAGGGCCGUCGGGUCAUGGUGAUGCGAAGCCACUGCCAUUCCCCUGACCUGGCUGGCCUGGAGGCCCUGAGGCAGCGGGAGAGGGAGAAGGCCCGGGAGAGGGAGAAGGCCCGGGAGAGGGAGAAGGCCCCCAGUGCAGCCAAGAAGAAAAAGAAGAAGAAGAAGAAGAAA
RNAcentral lists this long non-coding RNA (318 nucleotides) under Rattus norvegicus (Norway rat). Its description in RNAcentral is "long non-coding RNA NONRATT005239". The record is from RNAcentral. Lineage: Eukaryota; Metazoa; Chordata; Mammalia; Rodentia; Muridae.